CCUACGGGUGGCAGCAGUGGGGAAUAUUGGACAAUGGGGGCAACCCUGAUCCAGCCAUGCCGCGUGAAUGAUGAAGGCCUUCGGGUUGUAAAAUUCUUUUGGUGGGGACGAUGAUGACGGUACCCACAGAAUAAGCUCCGGCUAACUUCGUGCCAGCAGCCGCGGUAAUACGAAGGGGGCUAGCGUUGUUCGGAAUUACUGGGCGUAAAGGGCGCGUAGGCGGCUUGAUAAGUUGGAUGUGAAAUCCCAGGGCUCAACCCUGGAAUUGCAUUCAAGACUAUCUUGCUUGAAUUCGGUAGAGGUUGGUGGAAUUCCCAGUGUAGAGGUGAAAUUCGUAGAGAUUGGGAAGAAUAUCCGUGGCGAAGGCGGCCAACUGGACCGACAUUGACGCUAAAGCACGAAAGUGUGGGGAGCAAACAGGAUUAGAUACCCCUGUAGUC
Molecule: ribosomal RNA, 440 nt
Filed under: uncultured bacterium
Lineage: Bacteria
Description: partial 16S ribosomal RNA
Rfam family: Bacterial small subunit ribosomal RNA
Source: RNAcentral